AAGCGGUGGAGUAUGUGGUUUAAUUCGAUGCAACGCGAAGAACCUUACCUGGUCUUGACAUCCCGGAGACCCUUAGGAAACUAGGGGGUGCUUCCAUCUGGAAGAAUCUGGAGACAGGUGCUGCAUGGCUGUCGUCAGCUCGUGUCGUGAGGUGUUGGGUUAAGUCCCGCAACGAGCGCAACCCUUGCCUUUAGUUGCCAGCAGUUCGGCUGGGCACUCUAAAGGGACUGCCGGUGUUAAACCGGAGGAAGGUGGGGAUGACGUCAAGUCCUCAUGGCCUUUAUGACCAGGGCUACACACGUACUACAAUGGCCGAUACAAAGGGCAGCGACACUGCGAGGUGAAGCCAAUCCCGUAAAAUCGGUCUCAGUCCGGAUUGGAGUCUGCAACUCGACUCCAUGAAGUUGGAAUCGCUAGUAAUCGUGGAUCAGCAUGCCACGGUGAAUACGUUCCCGGGCCUU
Molecule: ribosomal RNA, 461 nt
Filed under: uncultured Desulfobulbus sp.
Lineage: Bacteria; Pseudomonadati; Thermodesulfobacteriota; Desulfobulbia; Desulfobulbales; Desulfobulbaceae
Description: bacterial SSU rRNA
Rfam family: Bacterial small subunit ribosomal RNA
Source: RNAcentral